This 441-nucleotide ribosomal RNA is filed under the name uncultured bacterium. RNAcentral describes it as "partial 16S ribosomal RNA". It matches the Rfam family "Bacterial small subunit ribosomal RNA", at positions 338 to 795 of the family's 1533-position model. The record is from RNAcentral.
CCUACGGGAGGCAGCAGUGGGGAAUAUUGCACAAUGGGCGAAAGCCUGAUGCAGCAACGCCGCGUGAAGGAAGACGGUUUUCGGAUUGUAAACUUCUGUUCUUAGUGAAGAAUAAUGACGGUAACUAAGGAGCAAGCCACGGCUAACUACGUGCCAGCAGCCGCGGUAAUACGUAGGUGGCAAGCGUUGUCCGGAAUUACUGGGUGUAAAGGGAGCGUAGGCGGGAAGCCAAGUCAGCUGUGAAAACUACGGGCUUAACCUGUAGACUGCAGUUGAAACUGGCUUUCUUGAGUGAAGUAGAGGAUGGCGGAAUUCCGAGUGUAGCGGUGAAAUGCGUAGAUAUUCGGAGGAACACCGGUGGCGAAGGCGGACAACUGGGCUUUAACGGAAGCGGAGGCUCGAAAGUGUGGGGAGCAAAGAGGAUUAGAUACCCCAGUAGUG